This 1158-nucleotide ribosomal RNA is filed under the name Triticum aestivum (bread wheat). RNAcentral describes it as "partial small subunit ribosomal RNA". Lineage: Eukaryota; Viridiplantae; Streptophyta; Magnoliopsida; Poales; Poaceae. The record is from RNAcentral.
AUGGCGGCGGUGCUUCACGCGGCGAGGAUGCUCGGCAAUCGCGCUGCCCUCCAGCAGGGGCGACAAGCCGUCGCUUCUGUUGCGGUGGAGGGACGACAUCGAUUCAUCGACAAGUGCGAGGUUGCUGCCAAGUGUCAUCCGGACUAUGUACGUUGGGCUACUAUGAGCAGACAGGAGCAACUGGCGGCAUUGCUCUGCUUUGACCCAUUGACGGUGCCGGAAAAUAUCCGAAAGACAGUAGAAGAGAGGAACAAACUUUGUAUCCUAAUCUUGGACAAGUACCCGCACAUGAUCCGGCACGUCGGUCGUCUUCCUGACGAACCUUGCUUAGCAUCGCGCGCACUCUUUAUAGUGUCUACGGUGGCUUCGGGGAUCCUCCUUCAAAAUAAAUUGGGCCGGAAGGGAAAACGGUACAGAUAUGCCCCCGUCCUCUCCCUCCCCUCCCUGAACCCUACGUCCCUACCCCUCAUAUCUCCCAAACUGACCGCCGUUGUCGUCGCUUCAAGAGAGAGAUGGAGAGGCUAUCUAAAAGGAUUUGUGCAGAUGGGGGAGGCGGCGGAGAAGGAUGAUCGAGGACUCAAGGAGGGGAAGGAGGAGAUGGUGACCAGCACGGUUCCUCCGACCAGGAAGACGCGGGCACUUGCGGGGGUGGAUGAGUCUUCUCCAACGGUGCGCCGAAAUCCAAACCCACCUGCGAUUUUUUGCCCCCAAUUUUCUCUUCUUCUGGAAAUGCUUUUGGACGCCAUGAUAAUGGAGGCCAGGAAGGGGUUGAUGGAGAGGGAGAGGGAGAGGGAUCAGCUCCCAGUCGGCAUGCAAGGUCAUGGCCGUCCGGGCGUCGAUGAUGGCCCCGUGUGCAGUGUGCCUCAAAGUUUUGAUGGUCCUCCUCCGAUGCUGCCAGAAUCAUGUCACAUCAUCAUCUUCAAGGCCAAGAUCAACGUGCUCCUGCGCUUCAGGCCCUUUGUCAUCACGCUUCACUACCUCUCCCAAAACCACACAAGGAUGCGUUCUCUCUUUGUGUUCACACCAUUUGGUGAGAGAUUGGAAUAUGUAACCAAAUCAAAGGAAUUCAAGGUGCAUAUCUUUGACAAGCCAAGUGGGAUUGCGGCUCAGGUACUCAUCAAGCAUAAUCUCCUGAGACUUCAGGAAGCACCUCUCUGA